This 460-nucleotide long non-coding RNA is filed under the name Ananas comosus (pineapple). Its description in RNAcentral is "long non-coding RNA (ACOM_LNC007439)". The record is from RNAcentral. Lineage: Eukaryota; Viridiplantae; Streptophyta; Magnoliopsida; Poales; Bromeliaceae.
CAUCUCAUACGCCCCUUAUUUAUUUUUUUUAUAAAAAAAAAAUUUAUAAAUAUUUUUUAUCUUUUUGACUUUUAAAAAUUUAUAUUUUUAGCAUCUUAAAAAUUUUAGAAAUGUUUUCAAAUGGGUAAGACGUUAAUUGAAAAAGCGAAACGAUCAAAUUACUCUUACUUUUUGUAUAAAAAAAUAUAUUUUUUUAAUAUUUAUGUCAUUUGAAGAAUAUUUUUGUCAUAAAUUAUGAAAAAUAGACAGAAUAGUGAUAGAAUCCUAAUGGAGAGAAGCUAAAUGAAACUACUUGAAAUAUUGAGAAUAAAAAAUAUAAUUUUUUUAUAGUAAAAAAAAAGUAAAAAAAAAGUAUUUAUAAAAAAAAUUUCUGUAAUUCAGCCAAAAAAAAAAGACGGUAUAUAAAUAUAUAUAUAUAUAUAAAAAAAUGGAUUAAAAAAAAAAAUUAAAUUGGAUAUGG